GUUGUGGUAAAAAGCUCGUAGUUGGAUCUCGGCGGUCUGAGGGCGGUUCGCUUGAUUGAGUGCUACUGCUCUAUAGGCCGUGGUUUUGCCAGAGGUCUCGGGGUGCUCUUAACCGAGUGUCCUGCGAUGCUGGCAGGUUUACUUUGAAAAAAUUAGAGUGCUCAAAGCAGGCUUUUACGCCUGAAUAUUCGUGCAUGGAAUAAUAGAAUAGGAAGUCGUUUCUAUUUUGUUGGUUUUCGGAAAUCGACUUAAUGAUUAAUAGGGACAGUCGGGGGCAUUUGUAUUCAAACGACAGAGGUGAAAUUCUUGGACCGUUUGAA
RNAcentral lists this ribosomal RNA (320 nucleotides) under uncultured marine eukaryote. RNAcentral describes it as "SSU rRNA". It matches the Rfam family "Eukaryotic small subunit ribosomal RNA", at positions 612 to 933 of the family's 1831-position model. The record is from RNAcentral.